CGCUUUGGGGGGCCCCGUGCCGCACGGGGGGCGUCCGGAGACGCGGCUGGAGAGGCGAGUGGCGACCCUGGGACGGGAACCAGCUGUUGGAGCCCAGCAAAACAGCUGUUACCCGCUGCUCCGUGCAUUUCCGCCCCCAGAUAUUCUGUCCGGAUUUAUACACCCUGUCUGUCUGUCUGUCCUCACCCCCCCUCUGUCUGUCCAUCCCUAUACUCGCUGUCUACCUAUUUAUCUCCCCAUACACCCCCUCUGUCUAUCUAUCCAUCCCUAGACACUCACUCCAUCCCUCUACACUGUAUCCAUCUGUCUGUCUGUCUAUCCCCAAACACCCCAUCUAUCUAUCACCUGUACUCCCCCAUCUAUCUAUCCAUCUCUCUACAUUUUCUCUAUCUAUCUGUCUAUCCCUUUAUUUCUCCGGGAAUAUCUUUCUUUCUCAAACCAAACCCAAGAGCCAAAGGGUUAAAAGUCCAGGCUGCAGCCCGCUGGCCCCAGGCCCCUGGAUGUGACUGGACGCGCUUCAGAAAGGAGGGAGGCGAGGACACCUUAACAAGUCCGGGGACUCUCGGGACAGCCCAGAUGUGAGAGGAAGAGGAAGUCCUCUGAAGAAGUGAAGCAAGGAGCUUCCCCCUCAAAGCAAGGAGCAAAAUGGGCUCUGUGCAUGGAGGCUGGAUCAGCAGGUUUUGCAUGGCUGGACUGGCCCUGGCUCUGGCCCUGCUGACGGCCCCGCUCAGCCAGGGCAGCAGGAAGGU
Non-coding RNA from Pelodiscus sinensis (Chinese soft-shelled turtle), 749 nucleotides. The record is from RefSeq and is a predicted model, not a curated record. Lineage: Eukaryota; Metazoa; Chordata; Testudines; Trionychidae.